UAUACCCACUGGACAGUGCUGAUCUAGGCUGUUUAUAACUAUAUUUUUUCUCUUUCCCUUUCCCAGCCUCCGUUAAAGAUAAGGUUGACCAUGGGAUCCAAUUCUGGCCAAUGAGACUUGAGCAGAAUUCUGCUGGGAGUUUUCUGGGAGUUUUUUAAGAAAAUUUCAACUCCUGAACCAGAUGAAUUAUUACCUGAGACAGUUGUAUCCAGUGCUGUCUUCAGGGCGGAUUGGAUUGUGUGGAGCCAUAAUCUUGUUCUCAGAACCCCCUGACUGCCAGGAAAAGCUUGCGCAUCCCUGAUCUAGAUGGUUGUAUCAUGUGGGAGAGCAAGAUGAAAAAAUCGAGAGUUAUAAAGGCUGAGAGAUUUUCCCAGGAACACUGCAGAGCAGAUAUCCAAUCUACUGGUUCCUGGUCCGCUGCCUUUCCAUGGUGCCACACGGGCUGUCUGAGAAAGAUAGAUCUUCAACCAGCCAACCAGCCAGCCGGUCAGCUAAAGCAGACUGAGCACACCGAGGAUCCAGAGCAAUGUCCUAGUAACUGUAUCCAAGAUGUAUAUUGUUUUUCUCUUGGUAAAUCUAAAUGACUAGCUAAAUAAUUUCAUUUAUUUGGUAACUAUGUUGAUUAAAGAGUAUGCAAUAUAGCAAAUUCAUAAAAUAAUUGUCCUGAAAAGUUUGGAUAAAAAUCUACAUUUCAUAUUGUGCAGAGGCUAUUAUAAUUUUAAAAUAUCUUUCUUUGGAUUUUCAGUGGGAUUAUUAUUUUAAUUGUCUUAGAUGAAUAAAACAACUUAUUUACUUUGGACGCCCUGAAAGACUGUGAACAAGUAUAUAUAUACGCAAUACCAUGUGGUCUAGGUUUCUGUGUUAUAAAAGAAAGUUUUCAUUUAGUGAUCAGAAAGGCAACCCACUUUUGGUCAAAGAAAGGCAAAUAUGAACAGAUAUGAAAUGAUUAAAGUCAAGAAAAUGUUGUCUAAUCCUAUAUCAUAGAAAAGAAGAAAAAGAAAGAAAGAAAAAUUGGACAAAUAGUAGAAGUCUGAAAUCAAGGGUUUUGUCAAGUAUUUAUUCUGUAAUUUUAUGUGUCCGUAAUAUGCAGACAUUAACUUUGUUAUCCAUAGACAUCUGAAGCACAUUCUAACUCUGCUUUCUGCAGUUUCUGCAUUCUGGUGACUUUUUGCUCCCUAAGAGCUCCCCUUUCUUUUCCAUGAACGUGGUUUCAUAUCUGGUGUGGCAUUUGUGUUCCCUGGGCUCCACUCAGCCUACCAGACAUUCCACAAUAUUUAUGAAUAGUCUUAGUCAGUCCUAUUGCUUUUUCUGACAAAAACUCUUACUUCAAAGAUUAGAGAACUGAGUUUUAGAGUUGAAAAAGUAAGCUAGGCAUCCCCUGAUUAAGGUGGGUCCAAUUAAUGCAUAACUUUCAUGCCCAAGUAACCAAGAUAUGAAUACUGGAGAAGGAAUACCCUAAGGAUGGCGAAUAUUAUGGCGACCAUAUCCAUCCCCUCUUCUUUUUAGUGGUCGUGGUCCUUUGGUAUUCUUAGGAAACGUAAGAGAAACAGAGAUUAUUUUGGAGGAAAAAUCUUAGGAGAUUUUACUUAUCACAUACUGUGUACUAUACAGUAGAGUGAGACACCAACCUAGUUUAAGGCUGAUCCUAAGGCAAAUUUUCAUAAACAUUUUGAAUUUAUGCUUCCACUGUAGCAAAAGAAAGAUGUGUGAUUGGUACUUGCAACAAGAAUUCUUCAUGGAGAGACAUGAUAGUAUUAAUGCCACAGUUCAGGGAUAUUAGCGUUAAGUAGAUUUUUGUGGGAUGCUGCAAGGAUCUCCCUGUCAGGGAAAACAUUGAUGAAUCACAAAAGGGGGAUGUUGACAGUUUCUCAUGGACUGUAUUCUGAUGGAAGCACAAAGACUGAAAUGUUGAGGGGGUGCAAAAUUAUCAUAGUAGUGCUCUGGAAUUUAACGAAAGACAGUAUUGAUCAGAGGGGGAGGAGGUAGAGAUGAACAUUAGGCCUGAAUCCUUAGUUCCAGGACAGGACAUGUGCUGGGGACACUCACUUGGAUUUUGGGCCCAGCUGCAGAGGGUCCAAGAAAAGUAUGUCUUUUGGCCAUAGUAUCACACAUCAGGAAUUCCAAUCAAUUGGGUGGGGCACAUUGGCAGAUGUUAUGAUGAUCAACACUCUUCCCUCAUUUAUUUGCUUGUUUGUUUACUUAAUGUUUGUACCUGUGGAUUUCAGGAUUCUUGGAUUACUCAAAAGAACAUGAGAACUCUUUGUCUAGAAUGAGAUUUUCUUAACCACAUGAUAUUCAUCAUCUCUUGGGAGUCAGAUUAAAGCCCUAGUUCAAGCUAACAUAAAACUUUUACAAAGUAUUUUAAAGGUCUAGUGUUAUAGCCUUCUCCAACCUUCUGAUUUCAUCCCUCCUGUGGUUAUUAGGGCAGCCCAUUUAACAAAGGGAAAAAUCUUACCCAGUGACUUUGAAUUUUUCUUUGUUAUUUACAGACUUUCAAUAUCAUGAGACCCUGAGUUAUCAGAAGUUUAUGUAUCAGUUUCAUCAGAGACAAUGGGAGCUAGUGGACAUGUUCAGAAAUGACUGGAUGGGGCAACAGAAACAACAAAGGAACACGGGGAAGUCCCUAUCUGGCCAUUCUUAGCUCUCUACCUUGAUGUGAUAGCAAAUUCCUAGCAGAGAGUUGGAGGAGGGCAGUCAAUUCUCUGCUUGUUUUGAAUAUUGG
Molecule: non-coding RNA, 2722 nt
Organism: Equus caballus (horse)
Lineage: Eukaryota; Metazoa; Chordata; Mammalia; Perissodactyla; Equidae
Source: RefSeq, a predicted model, not a curated record